GUGCUCGCUUCAGCAGCACAUAUACGAAAA
This 30-nucleotide small nuclear RNA is filed under the name Cervus elaphus hippelaphus. The record is from RNAcentral. Lineage: Eukaryota; Metazoa; Chordata; Mammalia; Artiodactyla; Cervidae.